RNAcentral lists this ribosomal RNA (253 nucleotides) under uncultured bacterium. RNAcentral's name for it is "partial 16S ribosomal RNA". It matches the Rfam family "Bacterial small subunit ribosomal RNA", at positions 524 to 776 of the family's 1533-position model. The record is from RNAcentral.
UACGGGGGGGGCAAGCGUUGUUCGGAAUUACUGGACGUAAAGGGCUCGUAGGCGGCCAACUAAGUCAGACGUGAAAUUCCUCGGCUUAACCGGGGAACUGCGUCUGAUACUGGAUGGCUUGAGAUUGGGAGAGGGAUGCGGAAUUCCAGGUGUAGCGGUGAAAUGCGUAGAUAUCUGGAGGAACACCGGUGGCGAAGGCGGCAUCCUGGACCAACACUGACGCUGAGGAGCGAAAGCCAGGGGAGCAAACGGG